RNAcentral lists this ribosomal RNA (465 nucleotides) under uncultured bacterium. RNAcentral describes it as "partial 16S ribosomal RNA". It matches the Rfam family "Bacterial small subunit ribosomal RNA", at positions 28 to 506 of the family's 1533-position model. The record is from RNAcentral.
GAUGAACGCUGGCGGCGUGCUUAACACAUGCAAGUCGAACGGAAAGGCCGAAGCUUGCUUCGGUACUCAAGUGGCGAACGGGUGAGUAACACGUGGGUGAUCUGCCCUGUACUUCGGGAUAAGCUUGGGAAACUGGGUCUAAUACCGGAUAUGACAAUCUCUUGGAUGGGGUUGUGGAAAGCUUUUGCGGUAUGGGAUGAGCUCGCGGCCUAUCAGCUUGUUGGUGGGGUAAUGGCCUACCAAGGCGUCGACGGGUAGCCGGCCUGAGAGGGUGUACGGCCACAUUGGGACUGAGAUACGGCCCAGACUCCUACGGGAGGCAGCAGUGGGGAAUAUUGCACAAUGGGCGCAAGCCUGAUGCAGCGACGCCGCGUGGGGGAUGACGGCCUUCGGGUUGUAAACUCCUUUCGCAACCGACGAAGCUUUUGUGACGGGAGGUUGAGAAGAAGCACCGGCUAACUACGU